AAAACAGCGUUGACGAGGAGGAGUACAUACACCCCUGAAAAGUAGAGAGAAGAUGUCUGGUGAAAAUCUUCAUGAAGUGUGUAUGGAAGUAGCCUUUGAGCUUUGAACCGAAAAGAUGCGGACAUGAUCUGAGUAGACUUCAACGGCAUUUUCCACCGUUAUAGGGAAAACGAUAUCGGACCCUUGAGCACAGCUCUGUGAGUUCCCGUAUUGGUAGAGUGCAGAUUUUUAUAAUCUGAAUUUAGGUGGUACCACGGACGCAUAAGCAUCCGCCCUAAGA
This 280-nucleotide non-coding RNA is filed under the name Fusibacter sp. RNAcentral describes it as "T-box sequence". It matches the Rfam family "T-box leader". From Rfam's summary of the family: Uncharged tRNA acts as the effector for transcription antitermination of genes in the T-box leader family. T-boxes are found upstream of many aminoacyl-tRNA synthetase genes and some amino acid biosynthetic genes usually in Gram-positive bacteria. The anticodon of a specific tRNA base pairs to a specifier sequence within the T-box motif, and the NCCA acceptor tail of the tRNA base pairs to a conserved bulge in the T-box antiterminator hairpin. The record is from RNAcentral. Lineage: Bacteria; Bacillati; Bacillota; Clostridia; Eubacteriales; Fusibacteraceae.